CCUACGGGAGGCAGCAGUGAGGAAUAUUGGUCAAUGGGCGCGAGCCUGAACCAGCCAAGUCGCGUGAGGGAUGACGGUCCUACGGAUUGUAAACCUCUUUUGCCGGGGAGCAAGCGUGCGUUCGUGAACGCGCGUCGAGAGUACCCGGAGAAAAAGCAUCGGCUAACUCCGUGCCAGCAGCCGCGGUAAUACGGAGGAUGCGAGCGUUAUCCGGAUUUAUUGGGUUUAAAGGGUGCGUAGGCGGGAUGCCAAGUCAGCGGGAAAAAUGCGGUGCUAAACGCCGUCGAGCCGUUGAAACUGGCGUUCUUGAGUGGGCGAGAGGUAUGCGGAAUGCGUGGUGUAGCGGUGAAAUGCAUAGAUAUUAGGAGGAACACCAGUGGCGAAGGCGGCUUACUGGACUGUAACUGACGUUGAGGCUCGAAAGCGUGGGGAGCAAACAGGAUUAGAUACCCCUGUAGUC
This 460-nucleotide ribosomal RNA is filed under the name uncultured bacterium. Its description in RNAcentral is "partial 16S ribosomal RNA". It matches the Rfam family "Bacterial small subunit ribosomal RNA", at positions 338 to 795 of the family's 1533-position model. The record is from RNAcentral.